AGUGAACGCUGGCGGUAGGCCUAACGCAUGCAAGUCGAACGGCAGCACAGUAAGAGCUUGCUCUUACGGGUGGCGAGUGGCGGACGGGUGAGGAAUACAUCGGAAUCUACUUUUUCGUGGGGGAUAACGUAGGGAAACUUACGCUAAUACCGCAUACGACCUACGGGUGAAAGCAGGGGAUCUUCGGACCUUGCGCGAUUGAAUGAGCCGAUGUCGGAUUAGCUAGUUGGCGGGGUAAAGGCCCACCAAGGCGACGAUCCGUAGCUGGUCUGAGAGGAUGAUCAGCCACACUGGAACUGAGACACGGUCCAGACUCCUACGGGAGGCAGCAGUGGGAAAUAUUGGACAAUGGGCGCAAGCCUGAUCCAGCCAUACCGCGUGGGUGAAGAAGGCCUUCGGGUUGUAAAGCCCUUUUGUUGGGAAAGAAAAGCAGCAGGUUAAUACCCCGCUGUUCUGACGGUACCCAAAGAAUAAGCACCGGCUAACUUCGUG
RNAcentral lists this ribosomal RNA (492 nucleotides) under uncultured bacterium. RNAcentral describes it as "partial 16S ribosomal RNA". It matches the Rfam family "Bacterial small subunit ribosomal RNA", at positions 29 to 507 of the family's 1533-position model. The record is from RNAcentral.